This 2111-nucleotide long non-coding RNA is filed under the name Mytilus galloprovincialis (Mediterranean mussel). Lineage: Eukaryota; Metazoa; Mollusca; Bivalvia; Mytilida; Mytilidae. The record is from RNAcentral.
GAAGAGAAGUCAUUCAGUUAAUUUUCCGGGUUGUACAUUAUCUUUAUCAAACAUCUGUAUAGCCAAUCAUGAAUAUUUACAUACGGAAAUAUACACUACAGGAUUUUGAAGAUGAACCGUACACAUCUACGGAUUCUUUUUAUUGAAACGUUUGCUGAAAAAAAUAUAAUGACUACAAUUAAGUUCGAAAGUCUGGUUAAAUGGGAUCAAAUAUUGAAAACAUGCCACAAUAUCAUAUAUACCUACCAAUUGUCACUAUUUACGCGGAUAAUCCCAAUGGAGGCUCCCAAAUGUUAAUUUUGAAAGAUCCAUUUUCUCCACUAUUUUAAACAAAACAAUCAUUAUUUACAAUAAAAUAUAAAGAAGCCAAAAAACAACAAAAAACAACAAAAAAAAACCAACAAAAAACGACCACAUUAAAAUAUAUUUGAAGGUUUUGUAAGACUAUAAGAGUCAUCUUGCACGUAGACCUCCAUGGGCAUUUUGAAAGUUGGAAGGUAUGCAAUAUCAACAUACAACUUUAAAUUACGUGCAAUCAUUGUUUGAGUUUUCAAUUAUCUGUUGUUGGAAUGGAGAACAUAAAAAGGUGCUGUAUUUUGUACAUAUUGAUGGAGAAGACUAAUUUACAAAGUCUUGAAAAAAAAAACAGUUGACGAAAUUCCAGGGCGCACAGAUCACAUAUACGUGUCAAUUUUCUUCGAAGUUUAAGGGAUCUAGGUUGAAAACUGUAGGAGGAGUCGGUUACACAACAUAGGGAACCAAUUUUUCACCCUUUCACGAAAACAAUAUACCAUCAGAUGGCUAUUAGACUUUUAAAAUUCAUGCAGAAAAGGAGUAAUUUAUUCAGUGAAAUAGAAUUGUAGCCUGAUUAGUAUCAUUAAGGCAUGUACUGUAAAGAGAACAAUGUUUACUUUUUACCACCAUAUAAAGGCUGUAAGUAUGCGAUAUAUUUAUUUGAAAUUCAUCCUUAUUUCAAGAAAUUUACAGGGAAUUCAUUUGUAUAUGUAUUUUUAAGUUUUAAUUUUUAUGUGGAUAAACAUGAAGUUUAUUACAUCGAUUUAUUUAUAAAGUCCCUAUUCAUAAUGCAAACGAAAUUUAAAUUGAAUAAACUUCUUUAUUGAAUGUCAGAAGUAUCUUUUACUUUUUAGAAACAGGUGACAUCUUAAUAUCAGCAGGAACAUUGGGAGACAUAAAAUUGAAAAUAAAUAAAUAUAUAUAUUUAACAAAUCGUAUUUGCACUUAUAGAAACAUAUCUCGGCAAAAAAUUUUAAAAACCUAUUACUGUUGUGCGUAAACAAAUGUCUAUUGUUACUUUUUUUUUAUGAAUGACGAUUUUAUGUGUGAGAAAGUGAUGAAAGUAGUGAAGGCCUUCACGAUAAUAAAAGUUGGUAAAUGUUGAGAUGCGGGAGAGUUGAGGAUAGUUAAUGAGAGUGAAUGGAUGUGUCUAUAUUUCAAACAAUGUAAAUUAUUUGAAGUGUAUAUUUUUGAACCUGUUUAUAAUAAGUAUGUAUAUCUGAACACGAGUCUUAAAAGCCUGUGCCUUAUAACAGCUCCGUGACAUUAUGGUGGCCAGCGACGGGAUUUAUUUUGGAUUUUAAUUAAACAUUUUGGACUUUAACUGUUAACCCUUCAAUAUGCUACCUAAAGGACGACCAAGAAGAAACAGAUAGGAAGAGAGGAAUGUUACAUCGGGACAAAAUAACAGUUUCAGACGCAAUCAAUAACAGCAAUUUUGAAGACAAGACCGAAGAUCUCUCUGAACAAAUGAAAGUCUUAAAAGCCCGUGCCUUAUAACAGCUCAGUGACAAUAAUAUCAGUCAAAUUAAAGAAAGUGUAGUAGAUCAUAUUGUUCAGAAUCUUGAAAACAGUAUCUUUUGAAGUUCAUUUUUCAAAGCCCACGUGGUGUUCAGAGAAUCAAGGUAAAAAACGAAAGUAGAAUAUUGUCGACUCGACCUAAAAAAAAUAACAUUUCCAAAUGAUUUAUGUAUCCGACUUAUUUAACAAUUUACAAAAAAAGAGAAAAUCAGAGGAUAUAUCAAUUUCUGUCAAUGGUUGAGAAAUAAUUGUAUGAAUUAAAUACGCGUAACAGUUCUUAGAGAGAAAAGGGGGGG